RNAcentral lists this unclassified non-coding RNA (283 nucleotides) under plant metagenome. Its description in RNAcentral is "partial contains small subunit ribosomal RNA, internal transcribed spacer 1, and 5.8S ribosomal RNA". The stretch from base 235 to 283 matches the Rfam family "5.8S ribosomal RNA", at positions 1 to 49 of the family's 154-position model. The record is from RNAcentral.
UUUCCGUAGGUGAACCUGCGGAAGGAUCAUUAUUGUAUAACCGAGGUGCGAGGGCUGUCGCUGACCCGAAAGGUCGUGCACGCCCGAGUGCCCUCACACACAUCCAUCUCACCCCUAUGUGCACCACCGCGUGGGUCCCCCUUUGGCUUGUUCGGAGGGGGGCUUACGUUUUCACACAAACUUUGUAUGCAGUGUAGAAUGUAUUUUUUGUUUUUGCGAUCACGCAAUCAAUACAACUUUCAACAACGGAUCUCUUGGCUCUCGCAUCGACGAAGAACGCAGC